AGUAAGACUUGAGUCGGUGGGCCCCUGGUCCCGCUAGGGUGGUAAAACGCCACCCCACGGCCCCCAAGUGUUCCCCAGGCCAGCUGGGGCCAUGUCGGUGCUCGCGUGCCCCGAAACAAGGGCUUCUAUCCCAAGGAGAAAUAUGAGAGUCGAGUUGCUAGACAUGAUGACCUAUCAACUUCAGGCUCACUCCUGGAUGCAGAGAUAACACAGACUUCCAGAGACGUCUUCACCACCAUUCUUGGUGGUCCCUGCCAUGCCGUGAGAAGUUGGGACUUCCACAUGGAGAGGCCACAUGGAGAGAGAACAAUGCUGGCCAGACCCCAGCCGUUUCAACCAUACCAGCCCAGACGUUGCCCAUGUAAGCGAAGGAGCCAUCCUGGACAUUCCAGGCCCAGCAGAUACUACAUGGAGGAGGACCAAAACUCCAGAUGUAUUACCCCACUCAAGCUGUCCCUGCCAUCUCCAUCCAUUCGAGCCAACCCAGCUAAGGCCACACACAGUGGGAAACAAAGACAAACCAUCUCUCCUGGGCCCUGUCCAAACUUCCCACCUACUGAAUCACGAGCAUAAUAAAAUGGU
This is a long non-coding RNA of Phyllostomus hastatus (greater spear-nosed bat), 582 nucleotides long. RefSeq lists it as uncharacterized. Lineage: Eukaryota; Metazoa; Chordata; Mammalia; Chiroptera; Phyllostomidae. The transcript is spliced from 3 exons. The record is from RefSeq and is a predicted model, not a curated record.